GCAUCUCUUUAUGUUGCCCAGGUUGGC
This 27-nucleotide non-coding RNA is filed under the name Homo sapiens (human). The record is from RNAcentral. Lineage: Eukaryota; Metazoa; Chordata; Mammalia; Primates; Hominidae.